Molecule: transfer RNA, 72 nt
Filed under: Ictidomys tridecemlineatus (thirteen-lined ground squirrel)
Lineage: Eukaryota; Metazoa; Chordata; Mammalia; Rodentia; Sciuridae
Also listed under: 1 other name
Description: Spermophilus tridecemlineatus (thirteen-lined ground squirrel) tRNA
Rfam family: tRNA
About the family: Transfer RNA (tRNA) molecules are approximately 80 nucleotides in length. Their secondary structure includes four short double-helical elements and three loops (D, anti-codon, and T loops).
Source: Rfam by way of RNAcentral
GGAGGUGUGGCUCAGUGGUAGAGCACAGGCUUAGCAGGCAGGAGGCCCCGGGUUCCAUCCCCAGCACCGACA